This is a non-coding RNA of Picea glauca (white spruce), 82 nucleotides long. The record is from Rfam. Lineage: Eukaryota; Viridiplantae; Streptophyta; Pinopsida; Pinales; Pinaceae.
GUGGCUAAGGCCGAGUGGUUAAGGCUUGAGCCUGCUAAGUACAUGGGGUUUCCCCGUGAGAGUUUGAAUCUCUCAGGCGACG